UCAACGAAUUUGCUUGUUGAAACUUGUAUCAACAGUAAAUCCUCUGUGAAUGAAUUGUAAAAGUUAACCGUUUAUGAUUAUGAGAACAAUAAACCAUUUAUUACUUUUAACAAGAUGAUUUUCCAUUCUUUUUUGUUGUUAUGCAGGAAAAAACUGGCUUAAGACAUGAGCCACGCUGUGGAAAAAUAGGGCUUAAUGCAUGUGCUUAGAUUGUAGUCCCAGAUUAGCCUGUGCAGUCCGCACAGGCUACUUAGGGACAACAAUUACCUCUUUAAAGGAGAGCACCAGCAUUGAUAUCGAGUUGGCCAAGCAACAGCACAAGUCCGGCCUGCAGGAGCCCCAAUACAGAACCAUCCUUUCCCUCCCCUGAUCCCUAGCUCCUCCCACUGGACCUCUGGCCACAAAGGGUCAGCAUCGUUACACAAGUCUGUUCUGCAAUAAAUCCUCAGCACGUCAAGUUUUCACGCGCUGUUUUGAACAAUCAAAAUGUCCGCGUCGAGAUUUCCCCAAGCAAGCCCGAGUAGUUUUGUUUAGCUCUAGUGCCCGAGUGGGAUGAGUGUUACAGAAGCGAGACGUUAUAGCAGUACAUAUGGUAACGCAAACAGUUAACGCUAACAGUUAGUUCUCGCUGUGGACAUCAUGAAGAAUCUCACAAAGAAUUAAACGUUGAAUAAUUUGUUUCAUUCUUUAUAAGACACAGGGUUCGCACAUGGCUUGAAAAGUGCUUGAAAACGAGUCCUAGGCUUGAAAAGCCCUUGAACAAAGGUUGGCCUUAAAACAGUGCUUGAAAAGUGCUUAGUUCAUGUAAAAAAGCCUUGAAAAUGUUUAUUUCUGCUCAAAAUUACUUUUCUCAUGGAUUUAAUUAUAAACUUAAAUCGUUCUUAUGGGAAAUAUUACGAAAAUGUAUCAGAUUCCUUCGCGCAAAAAGUUGAGUACAAAAUAUAAGUUUCGUACAAUAUUGAGUACGAAAUGUUAUGUGUACACGUCACAGAUUAUGUGUGCUACGUCAGAGGUUCUCCAUUGUGAUCAAUUUUCGCGAGUGAAAACGCAGCAAUGGGGAAGUGUCGUUUCAAACCAGGGUGGUUAACUGAAUAUUCCUGGGUACAGAAAACAAAUGACAUUCAAAAAGCACAUUGUUGGGUCUGUAUGAAGACCAUUGAUGUCGGGGGUAUGGAGGAAAGCGCUUUGAAAAGCCACAAGAAAGUGAAAACCCUCAAAGAAAACAUGAAAUUGAGAAGCAAACAGGGUUCCUGCGAUGUGUUUUUUGUUAAACAGGAAGGUACUAUUGUUAAAACUGUUAAAUCUAAAACAGACUUAAAAAACAACAGCCCAUCUGUGUCGAACCAGGAAGGCACAGCCACAUGCAGAGAGUGUGCAGAUAGAAGAUUCAAAUUCCAGGACCUUCGCAACUUUCAGCUGUAGUAUCAAACUCGCAGACAUCCAUAGACAAAUUUGUUAAAAAAAAUGAUAUGUUGAACGCGAAAGUAUUUUGGGUAUUUAUACCGUUUGCACACAACCAUCCUUUAAUUCCAAUAAAAACAUUACAAAGUUGUUUCAAGUUGUGUUCCAUGACAGUACCAUAGCAAAGCAUAAUUAUGUGGCUGUUUUGGGGCUAGCUGAACAUUUUAAAACUGUACUUUAUAGUUCUAUAACUUAAAUAGUGGACAGUACUCAGUGUCUCAGUACUCAGUGUCUUUUGAUGAAAGUUUAAACAAGAAAGACCAAUCCAAGCAAAUGAAAAAGGCAUUUUUUUAAAGGAAACUAACGUACAGUUUAUGGACUUGAAAAUGAAUAUUUGGUCUUGGAAAGUCCUUGAAAAGUGCUUGAAUUUAGGUUUGAGAUUUCUGUUUGAACCAUGAGACAUCUAUAUAUUCAGCAAGGAACGAGAGCAAAUCAAGGAACAAUCGAAACGAUUCAUUCAGAAGUGUUUCUGCUGUAAAUAGUUAGGACAGUAGUAGUGUUACGGACUGUCCUCAGCGCACAAUUUAUUCAUGUGGUGCGCCUCAGACGCGAAUUCCGCCCAUUAUUGAAAACAAGUUGCUAAAAGUAAACACAUCCGGUUUUGUUACGAGCACUUUGCACUCCGAGCCAAAAGGGCAUUGCAUUGAAUUGAGACUAAAGAAGGCUUGAAAACAUGACCCCAGUUUUGUUGUAUGGUCCAGUACGCCCUUCGACUCUCAACCCGAAGUUUAUCAGAACUCAAACUCGGCCCUUAACAAUAUCCACAAGGCCAGCAUAUCAGCUCAGCUUCUGAGCUUCAGCAAACACUAUAAGCCGCCAAGAUAAAAAAAUCGUUGAAGUGAAAGUCGAUGACAAUCUUGACCCCUUCGCUUAAGUAAUUCAGCACAAAAACGUCUUGCGUCAGAGUAGCAAGCCUCCAAACAUCUUCUCCCGUGUUGGCUUCAUCAACACUUCUUACAGCGGAGCCUUGGCGAGUUCGACUUCCAUCCCAGCACCGAUUUUGCUUAGCAACAAUUCAAUGCUGUGAAUCGACAAAUUGUUCCAGACGAGUCGCUUAAACAGAAACUAUCUGAUCCAACAGAUAGAGCAGGCGUUGCGUGACUUGUCCCUUAUUGCGACAGACCUCAAUAUGUUGCUCUCGAAUAAUGUGAACCUUAUGCCAAGCCUGUUCCUACAGGAACCUAUGCAAUCAUAGAUCCGUACCGAGCUGAACAACAUGCUCUCUGGUCAGCUGGGCCCAGACGCCCAGGGACACCUCCUGGCCCAGGACCUUGGGACAAAUGUUCAAAUAGUACUACCCGCAGAAUGCAGCCACUCUGAAUCCGGGGCUCCAUACUUUCUUGGCCAGGGGACAAGACUACCUCGUCAAUAAGAGGCCUUAUACUCACAAGUUCAAGCCCAGUGAGUGAUGUUCACAUUAUCAAACUCUGCAUCUCAAUAGAAACCUGGACAGCAAAGCGUUGAUUUUGUUCUUGAAGCAUUUGCAACAGCAGCAGUCAUCAUCUUGAGACUAUGGCAUCUCCAUUGUGAAGGACCCUCAGUCUGUGAUCAUCAUGUAGAGCGAACCUCGGAUGCCAUUUGACGAAAUCAAACCAUCCAAUCAGAAACACAGCCUGUUGCAGCAGUUGUUACCAUAUUGAUCCCAGUCAAACCUAAGAAGCUCAAACAUGAAUACUGCUUUAGAUGUGCUAGUCUCUACAUACCUCCUGCUUUGUUCAGCACUUACUUUGACCUUUGGCUUUUAUGACGGGUGGACAUGAAUGACCAUGUUUAGAUCGAAAUGGCCGAAUGACACAUCACAAAAUUUCAAGUGGAAAGCCAGAAAGUCAUGUCAACAGCCACAUGUUGUAUGUGACCAGCCAAGUUGUAGUCAACGAAAAACAAUAGUUUACGUUUUAUUUGUUUAGAUCGAAAUGGCCGAAUGACACAUCACAAAAAUUCAAGUGGAAAGCCAGAAAGUCAUGUCAACAGCCACAUGUUGUAUGUUACCAACCAAGUUGAAUUCCAAUAAUAACAAUAGUUUAUGUAUUUUGGAAAUUAUGAUGCAUGUUAAGUAUUUUAAAAGCACGCAUAUUAAAUGUCUAUCUAAUGUAUUUGUCUGUAUUAUGAAAUUUUAACUACAGAUUUUGAUCCUGAUAAUGGUAAUAAAUGGGAAAUAUUACCAAAGAUUUUUUAAGAUUGUCAAAGCUGUUUAAAUGAUGCUGGUAACUUGGACAAAAUUGAAAAAAUAUUGUAGUAUUUUUUGUUAUAAGACAUGUUUCAGUUUUCUGUUUUAACCCGUUAAUAUAGAAAGCUAAUGAAAAAUAUUUUUUCAGAAAGGUGUAAAAUGUUUACGCUUCAGAUUUUUGUCCAUCAACCUUUUGAAAAAAAUACUAGUCAAUUGGCUCAUGCGGGUCGGUAUUCGAUCAUGAAUCUUUUUUAGUAGCAUACUAUGUAGUUCAUGGGAAUAUAAAUAAAUUCUGGGCAAUUUUUUUUAAUCUACCUUUAAUAAUUGAUUCUGUAUUUACUACUAGUACUUUGUUGAUUUCAAUGGAUAGUGUUUGUUAAAUGAUAAGAGUAUGACUCUUGUUGAAAAGCUUUAAAUGAAACUGUGAAUUAAAAUAUAAAUAUUAAAUCUGUUGUAGAGUUUUAUGAAAAAUGGCAAAGAUUGUUAAGUUGUGUUGUUUUAUCAUAUACUAACAUGGUCAUCAGUGUUAAAAUUUGUUUUUGGACAUUAUAGUAUAUUAUGCUUUAUAUUUGUAUAUGUACAUGAAGACGACCAGAUUGUAUCCUCUUUAAUCAGUGAGUAAUUUAAUCAAGAUUUCUUGAUCACUGUAUCAAGUGUAUAUGUAUAUUUUGCCAUUUAUACAUAGAGCAUCUGUAAAACAAUUGCAUUUUCAAUGUAAUGUAUUCAUGUAUUGUUGCCAUUUUUAAGCACCCCUUCGAAGAAGAGGGGGUAUAUUGCUUUGCUCAUGUCGGUCUGUCUGUCUGUCGGUCGGUCAGUCGGUCGGUCCGUUCACCAGGUGGUUGUCAGACGAUAACUCAAGAACGCUUGGGCCUAGGAUCAUGAAACUUCAUAGGUACAUUGAUCAUGACUCGCAGAUGACCCCUUUUGAUUUUAAGGUCAAAGGUCAAGGUCACGGUGACCAGAAAUAGUAAAAUAGUUUUUUAAUGAUAACUCAAGAAUGCAUACGCGGCCAACAGGGCAAACUCUGAACAAUAUUACUGAAGCAACUGGUCUGUAAUUCUAAAUCUAUAAUUAUCAGUCCAAUGAAACAUCAUCCUCUGAGUAAAAUACAGUGGAUCAGUAAAAAUAUUUUCAGAAUAUGAGAUUUUUUGUAUAUUUUGUAUAUUAAAUAUUGUGUUAAUGUUUAAUUUUGUUGAUUAAUAUAAAUAUAAGCAGGACAGGGGAGGUAAUACAUUAUUAUAUCUUUCUUAUAUACAGGGGAAACAAAUGCAAUAAGUUUAAAUUUAUUGUUACAGCAUUUGCCUCCCUUGUAAUAUAUUUAAAUUUUACCAAAUGUAAGGCUAACUGCAUUUUCAUUUUAUCAAUAACCACCACCAUUACCACCACCACCACCACCACCACCACCACCGUUGUUCACAGUGACAAAAAAACGUAUUCACACAAUGGCUGCUUCUACAACUUAUAGCCCAUAUAGGGGGGCAUGCAUGUUUUACAAACAGCCCUUGUUAUAAGAUAAACUCACUGUUAACAUUAAUUUGUACAAACCAUAGUUAUAAAAAAACAUUUCUUGUGUCAAUGCUAAAACAUGUAUUAAACUGUUAAAAUAAUGCACAGUAACAACUUCUGAAGAGAAAAAUAUACUUAAGGCUACGGGUGCAGUUUUGAAUAAAUGAAAGCUUGUCAGAAUUUAUUUGAGAGGUCACAGUGGCUUGACCAUUGAACUAGAGACCCCAAAAUGUGUAGAACUUAUCAAGGUGCAUCUACAUAUGAAGUUUGAAAGUUGUAGUUGGAAGCACUUUGAUUUUAGAGUAAAUGUUAAGGUUUUAGCACGACGCAGACUUCCGACGACACGACGAACUGUAUGACAAUACCUUGGGUUUUCUCCAAAAAUACCGAGCUAAAAAUAAAAACUAAGAUGUCUGCUUUGCAAUUUUUCUUAAAAUAUACACUUAUUAAACGUGAACAGUAUUGACAUAUUGCUUACGAUAAAGUUUGACAUUUUAUUAGUUUUGUAACAGUGUGUUUCACCUUUCACAUUGACCAUCCCACAAUCCCACAUUUGCUUUCAGUGGGGCCAGUGUCUGUAAAUCUUCCACUACAAGUUCAGCAAAUGUUUUAUGACCAGAUUUCCUCAUAUUUGGGAAUGUUUAUUUUUAACUUUUAUUGAAUGCAUGAAACAUGUUUGUUCUGUUUUUGAAUAGCUGAAAACAGCUUGAUGUUUGUAAAUUGUGUGACAUGUUGAUCAAAUUGAUACAUAGAAAAAAACACUUUUUGCGUUUAUUUUUAUGUGUAGCUUAACAACACGUUACCAAAUACAAAUUUAAUUAUUUGGUAACAAUAUAAUUGUUGUGCUAUAUUCGUAAUACCGUAUGAAAUGCAAUUUUUAUUAUAAUGUGUGUUUGUCUACUCCAAAUAAUCAUUUUGAAUAAGAAAAUAUAGGGUAAUAAUAUUUAUGGAAAGUACCUGUAGGCACGUUUCAAUUGCUUGUGUAACUCAUAUGGAUCAGGGUCUUUCUAAAUUAUUGCAUGAUUGUUUAUGCCUAUGUCUGAAUUGUGUAAAUAUCUUCAAAAUCGUGAGAUAUUUGUUAAGAGGAUUUUAAUAUUAAAAGAUAUUAUAGCAUCUAAACUUUAACCGGUCAUCUUUUGCAUUUAUUUUUAUGUGUUUAUAUUGUUUUGCUACCGAGUUUAAUAUUGUCUAUAUUCGUGCGUAAUUUUGUUGUGGUUGUUUUGUUAAGACAAAGCGCAUAUCACUAAUGCUGUUGUUUUUGUUUUAUAGUAUAUGUAAAUAAUUAAACAUGUUUAUUUUGGUGAUAUGUAUUUCCCAAUCUAAGUGUGAUGUUGCAUUCUCAAUAAAGUACAUAGCCAUUCACGUGGAAUAGUAUUGCUAAGUGACAAUUUGUUGUCUUUACAAAUAAAAUCCGCAAGGAU
Molecule: long non-coding RNA, 6555 nt
Organism: Dreissena polymorpha
Lineage: Eukaryota; Metazoa; Mollusca; Bivalvia; Myida; Dreissenidae
Exons: 7
Source: RefSeq, a predicted model, not a curated record